AGAGUUUGAUCAUGGCUCAGAAUCAACGCUGGCGGCGUGCCUCAGACAUGCAAGUCGAACGAUUAAACUUGCCUUUGGGCAAGAUAUAAAGUGGCGCACGGGUGAGUAACACGUAAGUAAUCUGCCCUCGAGUGGGGAAUAACGUCGGGAAACCGACGCUAAUACCGCAUAAUGCAGCGGCACCGCAAGGUGACAGUUGUUAAAGGAGCAAUCCGCUUGAGGAGGAGCUUGCGGCAGAUUAGCUAGUUGGUAAGGUAACGGCUUACCAAGGCUACGAUCUGUAACCGGUCUAAGAGGACGGUCGGUCACACUGACACUGAAUAACGGGUCAGACUCCUACGGGAGGCAGCAGUCGGGAAUUUUGGGCAAUGGGCGAAAGCCUGACCCAGCAACGCCGCGUGAAGGAUGAAGUAUUUCGGUAUGUAAACUUCGAAAGAAUGGGAAGAAUCAAUGACGGUACCAUUUAUAAGGUCCGGCUAACUACGUGCCAGCAGCCGCGGUAAUACGUAGGGACCAAGCGUUGUUCGGAUUUACUGGGCGUAAAGGGCGCGUAGGCGGCAUGACAAGUCACUUGUGAAAUCUCCGGGCUUAACUCGGAACGGCCAAGUGAUACUGUCACGCUAGAGUGCAGAAGGGGCAAUCGGAAUUCUUGGUGUAGCGGUGAAAUGCGUAGAUAUCAAGAGGAACACCUGAGGUGAAGACGGGUUGCUGGGCUGACACUGACGCUGAGGCGCGAAAGCCAGGGGAGCAAACGGGAUUAGAUACCCCCGUAGUCC
Molecule: ribosomal RNA, 776 nt
Filed under: uncultured bacterium
Lineage: Bacteria
Description: bacterial SSU rRNA
Rfam family: Bacterial small subunit ribosomal RNA
Source: RNAcentral